AACGAACGCUGGCGGCAUGCCUAACACAUGCAAGUCGAACGAGACCUUCGGGUCUAGUGGCUCACGGGUGCGUAACGUGUCGGAACCUGCCCUUAGGUUCGGAAUAAUUCUCUGUAAUGGGUGCUAAUACCGGAUAAUGUCUUCGGAUCAAAGAUUUAUCGCCUUUGUAUGGGCCCGCGUUGUAUUAGCCUGUUGGUAGGGUAAAAGCCUAUCACGGCGACGAUCCAUAGCUGGUUUGAGAGGAAGAUCAGCGACACUGGGACUGGGACACGGCCGAGAAUACUACGGGAGGGAGGAGAGGGGAAUAUAGGACAAUGGGGGAAAGGCUGAACCAGCAAUGCCGCGAGAGUGAUGAAGGCGGGAGGGAUGUGAAGCUGGUUUACACGGGAUGAUAAUGACAGUACCGGGAGAAUAAGCUCCGGCUAACUCCGUG
RNAcentral lists this ribosomal RNA (433 nucleotides) under uncultured bacterium. RNAcentral's name for it is "partial 16S ribosomal RNA". It matches the Rfam family "Bacterial small subunit ribosomal RNA", at positions 29 to 507 of the family's 1533-position model. The record is from RNAcentral.